RNAcentral lists this ribosomal RNA (694 nucleotides) under Nocardia sp. RNAcentral describes it as "bacterial SSU rRNA". It matches the Rfam family "Bacterial small subunit ribosomal RNA", at positions 103 to 811 of the family's 1533-position model. The record is from RNAcentral. Lineage: Bacteria; Bacillati; Actinomycetota; Actinomycetes; Mycobacteriales; Nocardiaceae.
CGGGUGAGUAACACGUGGGUGAUCUGCCCUGUACUUCGGGAUAAGCCUGGGAAACUGGGUCUAAUACCGGAUAUGACCCUCUACUGCAUGGUGGAGGGUGGAAAGAUUUAUCGGUACAGGAUGGGCCCGCGGCCUAUCAGCUUGUUGGUGGGGUAACGGCCUACCAAGGCGACGACGGGUAGCCGACCUGAGAGGGUGACCGGCCACACUGGGACUGAGACACGGCCCAGACUCCUACGGGAGGCAGCAGUGGGGAAUAUUGCACAAUGGGCGAAAGCCUGAUGCAGCGACGCCGCGUGGGGGAUGACGGCCUUCGGGUUGUAAACCCCUUUCGACAGGGACGAAGCGCAAGUGACGGUACCUGUAGAAGAAGCACCGGCCAACUACGUGCCAGCAGCCGCGGUAAUACGUAGGGUGCGAGCGUUGUCCGGAAUUACUGGGCGUAAAGAGCUUGUAGGCGGUCUGUCGCGUCUUCUGUGAAAACUUGGGGCUCAACCUUAAGCUUGCAGGGGAUACGGGCAGACUAGAGUACUUCAGGGGAGACUGGAAUUCCUGGUGUAGCGGUGAAAUGCGCAGAUAUCAGGAGGAACACCGGUGGCGAAGGCGGGUCUCUGGGAAGUAACUGACGCUGAGAAGCGAAAGCAUGGGUAGCAAACAGGAUUAGAUACCCUGGUAGUCCAUGCCGUAAACGGUG